UACGGAAGGCAGCAGUGGGGAAUAUUGCACAAUGGGCGCAAGCCUGAUGCAGCCAUGCCGCGUGUAUGAAGAAGGCCUUCGGGUUGUAAAGUACUUUCAGUCGUGAGGAAGGUGUUAAGGUUAAUAACCUUAGCAAUUGACGUUAGCGACAGAAGAAGCACCGGCUAACUCCGUGCCAGCAGCCGCGGUAAUACGGAGGGUGCGAGCGUUAAUCGGAAUUACUGGGCGUAAAGGGCACGCAGGCGGUUAAUUAAGUUGGAUGUGAAAUCCCCGGGCUUAACCUGGGAAUGGCAUUCAAGCUGGUUAGCUAGAGUCUUGUAGAGGGGGUAGAAUUCCAUGUGUAGCGGUGAAAUGCGUAGAGAUGUGGAGGAAUACCGGUGGGCGAAGGCGGCCCCUGGGACAAAGACUGACGCUCAUGUGCGAAAGCGUGGGGAGCAAACAGGGAUUAGAUACC
Molecule: ribosomal RNA, 454 nt
Filed under: uncultured bacterium
Lineage: Bacteria
Description: bacterial SSU rRNA
Rfam family: Bacterial small subunit ribosomal RNA
Source: RNAcentral